Molecule: small RNA, 969 nt
Filed under: uncultured Actinoplanes sp.
Lineage: Bacteria; Bacillati; Actinomycetota; Actinomycetes; Micromonosporales; Micromonosporaceae
Description: bacterial SSU rRNA
Rfam family: Bacterial small subunit ribosomal RNA (bases 1-475)
Source: RNAcentral
GUCGUGAGAUGUUGGGUUAAGUCCCGCAACGAGCGCAACCCUCGUUCGAUGUUGCCAGCGGGUUAUGCCGGGGACUCAUCGAAGACUGCCGGGGUCAACUCGGAGGAAGGUGGGGAUGACGUCAAGUCAUCAUGCCCCUUAUGUCCAGGGCUUCACGCGUGCUACAAUGGCCGGUACAAAGGGCUGCGAUACCGUGAGGUGGAGCGAAUCCCAAAAAGCCGGUCUCAGUUCGGAUCGGGGUCUGCAACUCGACCCCGUGAAGUCGGAGUCGCUAGUAAUCGCAGAUCAGCAACGCUGCGGUGAAUACGUUCCCGGGCCUUGUACACACCGCCCGUCACGUCACGAAAGUCGGCAACACCCGAAGCCCAUGGCCUAACCGGUUUUCCGGAGGGAGUGGUCGAAGGUGGGGCUGGCGAUUGGGACGAAGUCGUAACAAGGUAGCCGUACCGGAAGGUGCGGCUGGAUCACCUCCUUUCUAAGGAGCAUCUUCCCACCCGCCCCCUCGGGGGUGGGUUCAGGAGGGCCCCGUACCACCCGGAUGUGGUGGUGGGGUUGCUCAUGGGUGGAGACACUGGCUAGUUCGCCACGUACCUCGUGGCUUGUCGCGUCUAGUACCGCCCCCCUUGGGGGUGGGGAACGGGCGGCAGGGCGGGGUGGUGGGGUAGAGCACCCUGUUGGGCCCUGAAAGAACAAGCCACUGUGUGGCGGGUUCUUCCAGCUGGCAGUCCAUGCUGGUCAUCAAACCGGAUCUUGUUGGGCCUUGUGUGUUGGGGUUUGGGCGGGGUUUUGGUGGUGGCGGAUGGUGUGGGGUUGCGCGUUGUUUGAGAAUUGCACAGUGGACGCGAGUAUCUUUGUGGUCAAGUUGCUGAGGGCAAACGGUGGAUGCCUUGGCACCAGGAGCCGAUGAAGGACGUGGGAGGCCGCGAUAGGCCUGGGGGAGCUGUCAACCUAGCUGUGAUCCCAGGGUGU